RNAcentral lists this small nuclear RNA (164 nucleotides) under Dermacentor silvarum. RNAcentral describes it as "U1 spliceosomal RNA". It matches the Rfam family "U1 spliceosomal RNA". From Rfam's summary of the family: U1 is a small nuclear RNA (snRNA) component of the spliceosome (involved in pre-mRNA splicing). Lineage: Eukaryota; Metazoa; Arthropoda; Arachnida; Ixodida; Ixodidae. The record is from RNAcentral.
AUACUUACCUGGUGCCGGGAUUACCGUGAUCAGCUAGGCGGUGUCCCCAGGGAGAGGCGCGGGCAUUGCACUGCGCUCGUGCUGACCCCUGCCACUACCCCAAACUGGGGCAGAUGGGGCAUGCAAUUUUUGGUAGUGGGGGACUGCGUUCGCGCUAUCCCCCU